GGGCCCGCACAAGCGGUGGAGUAUGUGGUUUAAUUCGAUGCAACGCGAAGAACCUUACCAGGGCUUAAAUGUAAGUUGCAUUAGUUAGAGAUAGCUAUUUCUUCGGACCACUUACAAGGUGCUGCAUGGUUGUCGUCAGCUCGUGCCGUGAGGUGUCAGGUUAAGUCCUAUAACGAGCGCAACCCCUGUUGUUAGUUGCCAGCGAGUCAUGUCGGGAACUCUAACAAGACUGCCGGUGCAAACCGUGAGGAAGGUGGGGAUGACGUCAAAUCAUCACGGCCCUUACGUCCUGGGCUACACACGUGCUACAAUGGUCGGUACAGAGAGCAGCCACUACGCGAGUAGGAGCGAAUCUUCAAAGCCGAUCACAGUUCGGAUUGUACUCUGUAACUCGAGUGCAUG
Molecule: ribosomal RNA, 402 nt
Filed under: uncultured bacterium
Lineage: Bacteria
Description: bacterial SSU rRNA
Rfam family: Bacterial small subunit ribosomal RNA
Source: RNAcentral